CCAGCUCGUCUUCCUCUUGUGAUUACAGCUUCCAACCACUUUGUUGCUUCACAUUUACUUCAGCCAGCUCCCUCCCACGUGGCAUCACAGGACAUGUUGCUGUGGCCAAGAAGGGUCAACAUUGGAGCUUACAGCAAAGAGUUUGCCUUGAGCUCAGAGGAAACUAUUUUUUUUGCUUUUGCUUUUCACAACUUUAUGUCAACAUAACUAUACUUACAGAAAUAUACUCAUAUUGGUUAAAAGAAUGCAAUUUAACUUAUCCUACACAUUUUCAACCAAAAGACAUUAAGAUAAAAGAUUUACAGACAAGUUCAACUAGUGCUGAGAAGUUGCCAGUCAUGGCCCUAAACCUGUGGUCACUUUGGAUUCCAGUAGAGCUUCCAUAGGACUGAGACUGCCCCAAACAGAAAUAUUCUCAUGGAGAAUGAAUUGCCCAUCAAGCAAUAAUGACUUCCUCUGCAGCCAUCCAGCAAAAUGGGAACUGAGGUCACCAGGAGGUGUACAGAAGAGGACUGAGGACAAAGACUCACCCAAGAUGGCCUUUUUGGUCCAUCUUAGUUAUCUGA
Non-coding RNA from Heterocephalus glaber (naked mole-rat), 566 nucleotides. The record is from RefSeq and is a predicted model, not a curated record. Lineage: Eukaryota; Metazoa; Chordata; Mammalia; Rodentia; Bathyergidae.